UAACGCGUGAGGAACCUGCCUUGAAGAGGGGGACAACAGUUGGAAACGACUGCUAAUACCGCAUGAAGCAUAGGGGGUCGCAUGAUUCUUAUGCCAAAGAUUUAUCGCUUCAAGAUGGCCUCGCGUCUGAUUAGCUAGUUGGCGGGGUAACGGCCCACCAAGGCGACGAUCAGUAGCCGGACUGAGAGGUUGACCGGCCACAUUGGGACUGAGAUACGGCCCAG
Molecule: ribosomal RNA, 224 nt
Filed under: uncultured bacterium
Lineage: Bacteria
Description: partial 16S ribosomal RNA
Rfam family: Bacterial small subunit ribosomal RNA
Source: RNAcentral